This 948-nucleotide ribosomal RNA is filed under the name uncultured Gammaproteobacteria bacterium. RNAcentral's name for it is "bacterial SSU rRNA". It matches the Rfam family "Bacterial small subunit ribosomal RNA", at positions 247 to 1188 of the family's 1533-position model. Lineage: Bacteria; Pseudomonadati; Pseudomonadota; Gammaproteobacteria. The record is from RNAcentral.
AGUAGGUGGGGUAACGGCUCACCUAGGCGACGAUCCCUAGCUGGUCUGAGAGGAUGACCAGCCACACUGGAACUGAGACACGGCCCAGACUCCUACGGGAGGCAGCAGUGGGGAAUAUUGCACAAUGGGCGCAAGCCUGAUGCAGCCAUGCCGCGUGUAUGAAGAAGGCCUUCGGGUUGUAAAGUACUUUCAGCGGGGAGGAAGGGAGUAAAGUUAAUACCUUUGCUCAUUGACGUUACCCGCAGAGGAAGCACCGGCUAACUCCGUGCCAGCAGCCGCGGUAAUACGGAGGGUGCAAGCGUUAAUCGGAAUUACUGGGCGUAAAGCGCACGCAGGCGGUUUGUUAAGUCAGAUGUGAAAUCCCCGGGCUCAACCUGGGAACUGCAUCUGAUACUGGCAAGCUUGAGUCUCGUAGAGGGGGGUAGAAUUCCAGGUGUAGCGGUGAAAUGCGUAGAGAUCUGGAGGAAUACCGGUGGCGAAGGCGGCCCCCUGGACGAAGACUGACGCUCAGGUGCGAAAGCGUGGGGAGCAAACAGGAUUAGAUACCCUGGUAGUCCACGCCGUAAACGAUGUCGACUUGGAGGUUGCGCCCUUGAGGCGUGGCUUCCGGAGCUAACGCGUUAAGUCGACCGCCUGGGGAGUACGGCCGCAAGGUUAAAACUCAAAUGAAUUGACGGGGGCCCGCACGAGCGGUGGAGCAUGUGGUUUAAUUCGAUGCAACGCGAAGAACCUUACCUGGUCUUGACAUCCACGGAAGUUUUCAGAGAUGAGAAUGUGCCUUCGGGAACCGUGAGACAGGUGCUGCAUGGCUGUCGUCAGCUCGUGUUGUGAAAUGUUGGGUUAAGUCCCGCAACGAGCGCAACCCUUAUCCUUUGUUGCCAGCGGUCCGGCCGGGAACUCAAAGGAGACUGCCAGUGAUAAACUGGAGGAAGGUGGGGAUGACGUCAA